Molecule: non-coding RNA, 644 nt
Organism: Lonchura striata (white-rumped munia)
Lineage: Eukaryota; Metazoa; Chordata; Aves; Passeriformes; Estrildidae
Source: RefSeq, a predicted model, not a curated record
ACCGUCCCGAUCUCCCCUCGGAGGAAUCAAGAGGGGCCGAGUUAUCUAAUUAAUGCUGGCAGAAGCGGGAGGCCGAGGGCUGGGGGGCGGCGGCGGCCCACAAAGGCGGCGUGGGGAGCGGUCUCCCCGCCGCCGCCGCCGGCAUCCCCCGGCAAUGGGGCCCCACGCUGGGAGUGAGAGGUUGGCUGCUGGAGGCUGCGCCGUGACCCCCGUGCCGAAAAACACCACCUAAAACCCACAGGGAGGACAUGGAGGCAGAAGAACAGAGCCCGGCACACGUCAGGCAUCACAAAACCCUGACGGCACCAGGAGCGGCACAAUCCCAGCCCCGGGAUGCUGCAGGCCAGAUUUACAUGUACAGCUGAAUUUCAAUCCAAUGUAAAACUUCCAGGUGGGAAUGGGAGAAGAGAGGAACCAGAACCCAGCCAGUGAUCUCAGGACUGGUGCUCCUUUCCAGCUCCAAUGAUGUCGCCAGACUCUGCCGGGACACAGAGCUCCCACUCCCAGAGGGAGCUUUCACAAGGCACUAAGCAAAGCUCAUGUUUAAACCUAAAAAUAACCCAGCCCUUGGGCCUGGGGAGGAGGAGGGCAGAGCACCCAGCCUGUCCCGCUCCAGCGCCAGCAGUUUCCAAUUGCCUGCGGAC